Molecule: ribosomal RNA, 1366 nt
Filed under: Microbacterium trichothecenolyticum
Lineage: Bacteria; Bacillati; Actinomycetota; Actinomycetes; Micrococcales; Microbacteriaceae
Description: bacterial SSU rRNA
Rfam family: Bacterial small subunit ribosomal RNA
Source: RNAcentral
AGCUUGCUUGGUGGAUCAGUGGCGAACGGGUGAGUAACACGUGAGCAACCUGCCCUGGACUCUGGGAUAAGCGCUGGAAACGGCGUCUAAUACUGGAUAUGAGCUCUCAUCGCAUGGUGGGGGUUGGAAAGAUUUUUUGGUCUGGGAUGGGCUCGCGGCCUAUCAGCUUGUUGGUGAGGUAAUGGCUCACCAAGGCGUCGACGGGUAGCCGGCCUGAGAGGGUGACCGGCCACACUGGGACUGAGACACGGCCCAGACUCCUACGGGAGGCAGCAGUGGGGAAUAUUGCACAAUGGGCGGAAGCCUGAUGCAGCAACGCCGCGUGAGGGAUGACGGCCUUCGGGUUGUAAACCUCUUUUAGCAGGGAAGAAGCGAGAGUGACGGUACCUGCAGAAAAAGCGCCGGCUAACUACGUGCCAGCAGCCGCGGUAAUACGUAGGGCGCAAGCGUUAUCCGGAAUUAUUGGGCGUAAAGAGCUCGUAGGCGGUUUGUCGCGUCUGCUGUGAAAUCCCGAGGCUCAACCUCGGGCCUGCAGUGGGUACGGGCAGACUAGAGUGCGGUAGGGGAGAUUGGAAUUCCUGGUGUAGCGGUGGAAUGCGCAGAUAUCAGGAGGAACACCGAUGGCGAAGGCAGAUCUCUGGGCCGUAACUGACGCUGAGGAGCGAAAGGGUGGGGAGCAAACAGGCUUAGAUACCCUGGUAGUCCACCCCGUAAACGUUGGGAACUAGUUGUGGGGACCAUUCCACGGUUUCCGUGACGCAGCUAACGCAUUAAGUUCCCCGCCUGGGGAGUACGGCCGCAAGGCUAAAACUCAAAGGAAUUGACGGGGACCCGCACAAGCGGCGGAGCAUGCGGAUUAAUUCGAUGCAACGCGAAGAACCUUACCAAGGCUUGACAUACACCAGAACACCGUAGAAAUACGGGACUCUUUGGACACUGGUGAACAGGUGGUGCAUGGUUGUCGUCAGCUCGUGUCGUGAGAUGUUGGGUUAAGUCCCGCAACGAGCGCAACCCUCGUUCUAUGUUGCCAGCACGUAAUGGUGGGAACUCAUGGGAUACUGCCGGGGUCAACUCGGAGGAAGGUGGGGAUGACGUCAAAUCAUCAUGCCCCUUAUGUCUUGGGCUUCACGCAUGCUACAAUGGCCGGUACAAAGGGCUGCAAUACCGUGAGGUGGAGCGAAUCCCAAAAAGCCGGUCCCAGUUCGGAUUGAGGUCUGCAACUCGACCUCAUGAAGUCGGAGUCGCUAGUAAUCGCAGAUCAGCAACGCUGCGGUGAAUACGUUCCCGGGUCUUGUACACACCGCCCGUCAAGUCAUGAAAGUCGGUAAACACCUGGAAAGCCGGUGGCCUAAACCCUUGUGGAGGG